AUGGCGAGGUACUGGUGGAGCAGCUCGGUCGAUCAAAAAUCUUUACACUGGAUCGACUGGCCUUCACUAGCUAAACCGAAGGUUGCUGGAGGGAUGGGGUUUCGUCACUUGGAGCUGUUUAAUUUAGCUCUACUUGGAAAGCAUGGCUGGAAUUUGAUUACGAACCCGGAAUCCCUUUGUGCUCGAGUUCUUAAGAGCAAGUAUUUCCCGAACAAUGGUUUCAUGGAGGCCACCAUCCCAAAGUGUGCCUCGACUACGUGGAGGGCGAUCAUUGCCGGCAGGAAAGCGCUGGGUGCGGGGCUUAUCAAACGAGUUGGAGAUGGCACCACGGUGUCCUUUUGGCAUGAUAGCUGGGUGCCCGCGCUGAUUUCCCGGAAGCCUUCUGUUCACAUAGGUAACACUGCUAUACAAACAGCUUCUGAACUCAUUGAUGUGGACAUAGGCAUGUGGAAAGUUGAUAUGGUGAGGGAACAUUUCAUUGCUCCUGAAGCAGAGGCCAUCCUUAAUAUCCCCCUGAGGAUUAGUGGUGGACCUGACUCGGUUGCAUGGACCGCUGAAAAGUAUGGUAACUACUCUGUUAAAUCCGCGUACCGCUCUCUAAUGACUCAGAACGAGCAUGCUGCUCUUCAGGAAGGGACAACUACAGAAUCUUCAGAGAAACAGAAGCAGUUGCGGAGUAGACUCUGGAAGCUGAAAGUUGUGCCAAGGGUGCGAGUGUUUUGA
Molecule: ribosomal RNA, 723 nt
Filed under: Triticum aestivum (bread wheat)
Lineage: Eukaryota; Viridiplantae; Streptophyta; Magnoliopsida; Poales; Poaceae
Description: partial small subunit ribosomal RNA
Source: RNAcentral